CGGCAUGAAGCCGCCUUCUCGAAUGAUAUU
This 30-nucleotide small RNA is filed under the name Bombyx mori (domestic silkworm). RNAcentral describes it as "ovarian small RNA-14475". The record is from RNAcentral. Lineage: Eukaryota; Metazoa; Arthropoda; Insecta; Lepidoptera; Bombycidae.